Suricata suricatta (meerkat) is the source of this 703-nucleotide long non-coding RNA. RefSeq lists it as uncharacterized. Lineage: Eukaryota; Metazoa; Chordata; Mammalia; Carnivora; Herpestidae. The transcript is spliced from 2 exons. The record is from RefSeq and is a predicted model, not a curated record.
AGCGGCUAAGGGAGAAGACCAAAAUCAUUACUGGCCACCUCAGUGUUUUUACCUCUUCCUUUCGAGGGAUAACCAACAAAGCGGUGCUAACCGGGCGACACUUCAAAGGCCAGUGCUUAUCUAGGGCCGCCAGUUACCUUCAGUGAAGAUUUACCCUCACCACAGAGAAGUCUGGCCCUGGCCUUUGGCUCCAGGGAAGGGAUCUCUAGGCCCUUGGAAUAUCCUGACAGGAGUGCUUCGUUUUCCUGGGGUCUUAGACCACUGACAUCCUAACAAUAUGAUUUAUGAUGGAGGCUUCGGGCCAGGCCAUAGCAGUUUCAACCUCCGGAUCCUCACAGAACUGGAGACUAGAGGAAUUAGCCUGAUUUCUGGAGGGGCUAGAAAUUAAAGUUCAGCCAUGUGGGCAAUGUGUGAUUGGGCGUCAGUAAAAACACUGGACACCAAAGGAUCAAGUGAGGCUCCCUGGCUGGCAAUACUGUGUAUAUUGUCACACACUGUGGCUGAGAGCAGGAAAUGCUGACCAUGAGUCUGGAAGCCCCAUGUUUGGACACUUCCUGUGCUUCAUAUGACCCAAGAAUUCCACUCCUUGGUGUAUACCCAAGAAAAAUUAAUGUUCAUAGCAUAAUUCAUAAAAGUCAAAACAGUGGAAAAACCCAAUGUCCAUCAAUAGAUGAGUAAGUAAAUAAAAUAUGGCAUAUCCCUA